GACAGCAGUCGCCGCGGUAAUACGGAGGGAGCUAGCGUUGUUCGGAAUUACUGGGCGUAAAGCGCGCGUAGGCGGUUACUCAAGUCAGAGGUGAAAGCCCGGGGCUCAACCCCGGAACUGCCUUUGAAACUAGGUGACUAGAAUCUUGGAGAGGUCAGUGGAAUUCCGAGUGUAGAGGUGAAAUUCGUAGAUAUUCGGAAGAACACCAGUGGCGAAGGCGACUGACUGGACAAGUAUUGACGCUGAGGUGCGAAAGCGUGGGGAGCAAACAGGAUUAGAUACCCCCGUAGUCCCUGUCUCUUAUAC
This 306-nucleotide ribosomal RNA is filed under the name uncultured bacterium. RNAcentral describes it as "partial 16S ribosomal RNA". It matches the Rfam family "Bacterial small subunit ribosomal RNA", at positions 507 to 807 of the family's 1533-position model. The record is from RNAcentral.